UACGUAGGGUGCGAGCGUUAAUCGGAAUUACUGGGCGUAAAGCGUGCGCAGGCGGUUUUGUAAGCCAGAUGUGAAAUCCCCGGGCUUAACCUGGGAAUGGCAUUUGGGACUGCAAGGCUUGAGUGCGGCAGAGGAGAUUGGAAUUCCUGGUGUAGCAGUGAAAUGCGUAGAUAUCAGGAGGAACACCGAUGGCGAAGGCAGGUCUCUGGGCUGACACUGACGCUCAUGCACGAAAGCGUGGGGAGCAAACAGG
Molecule: ribosomal RNA, 253 nt
Filed under: uncultured bacterium
Lineage: Bacteria
Description: partial 16S ribosomal RNA
Rfam family: Bacterial small subunit ribosomal RNA
Source: RNAcentral